GUUUGUUGGUGGGGUAAUGGCCUACCAAGACGAUGAUGUGUAGCUGGACUGAGAGGUCGAACAGCCACAUUGGGACUGAGACACGGCCCAAACUCCUACGGGAGGCAGCAGUAGGGAAUUUUCGGCAAUGGAGGAAACUCUGACCGAGCAACGCCGCGUGAACGAUGAAGUAUUUCGGUAUGUAAAGUUCUUUUAUUGAAGAAGAAAAAAUAGUGGAAAAACUAUCUUGACGUUAUUCAAUGAAUAAGCCCCGGCUAACUAUGUGCCAGCAGCCGCGGUAAGACAUAGGGGGCGAGCGUUAUCCGGAAUUAUUGGGCGUAAAGGGUGCGUAGGCGGUUAGGAAAGUCUAUAAUUUAAUUUCAGUGCUUAACGCUGUCUUGUUAUAGAAACUACCUUGACUAGAGUUAGAUAGAGGCAAGCGGAAUUCCAUGUGUAGCGGUAAAAUGUGUAAAUAUAUGGAGGAACACCAGAAGCGUAGGCGGCUUGCUGGGUCUUGACUGACGCUGAGGCACGAAAGCGUGGGUAGCAAACAGGAUUAGAUACCCUGGUAGUCCACGCCGUAAACGAUGAGUACUAAGUGUCGGGAUAAAACUCGGUACUGAAGUUAACACAUUAAGUACUCCGCCUGAGUAGUACGUACGCAAGUAUGAAACUUAAAGGAAUUGACGGGACUCCGCACAAGCGGUGGAUCAUGUUGUUUAAUUCGAAGAUACACGAAAAAUCUUACCAGGUCUUGACAUGCUCUGCAAAGCUAUAGAAAUAUAGUGGAGGUUAUCAGGGACACAGGUGGUGCAUGGUUGUCGUCAGUUCGUGUCGUGAGAUGUUAGGUUAAGUCCUAAAACGAGCGCAACCCUUGUCGUUAGUUACCAGCACGUAAUGGUGGGCACUUUAACGAGACUGCCAAUUAAACAUUGGAGGAAGGUGAGGAUUACGUCAAAUCAUCAUGCCCCUUAUGAUCUGGGCUACAAACGUGAUACAAUGGCUGUUACAAAGAGUAGCUGAAGCGCGAGUUUUUAGCCAAUCUCAAAAAAGCAG
This 1035-nucleotide ribosomal RNA is filed under the name Candidatus Phytoplasma fraxini. RNAcentral describes it as "bacterial SSU rRNA". It matches the Rfam family "Bacterial small subunit ribosomal RNA", at positions 244 to 1285 of the family's 1533-position model. Lineage: Bacteria; Bacillati; Mycoplasmatota; Mollicutes; Acholeplasmatales; Acholeplasmataceae. The record is from RNAcentral.